AAUCCGUGUUGUGGGCAUUUUCUCAGGAGCUUUUUGAACAUUUCCCAAGUCCAAAAUAGAGACUCCAAUUCCGACUGCACAAAGGACGAGAUCUCAUUCCUAAGAUU
Molecule: small nucleolar RNA, 107 nt
Organism: Dioscorea cayenensis subsp. rotundata (Guinea yam)
Lineage: Eukaryota; Viridiplantae; Streptophyta; Magnoliopsida; Dioscoreales; Dioscoreaceae
Source: RefSeq, a predicted model, not a curated record